Molecule: small nuclear RNA, 140 nt
Filed under: Fukomys damarensis (Damara mole-rat)
Lineage: Eukaryota; Metazoa; Chordata; Mammalia; Rodentia; Bathyergidae
Description: U2 spliceosomal RNA
Rfam family: U2 spliceosomal RNA
About the family: U2 is a small nuclear RNA (snRNA) component of the spliceosome (involved in pre-mRNA splicing). Complementary binding between U2 snRNA (in an area lying towards the 5' end but 3' to hairpin I) and the branchpoint sequence (BPS) of the intron results the bulging out of an unpaired adenosine, on the BPS, which initiates a nucleophilic attack at the intronic 5' splice site, thus starting the first of two transesterification reactions that mediate splicing.
Source: Rfam by way of RNAcentral
AUCACUUCUCAGCCUUUUGGCUAAGAUCAAGUGUAGUAUCAAAGCCACAAUGAGACACCACUUCACACCCAUAAGGAAAAGGGUAAUUUUAAAAAUAUCAAGUAAAUUCUUUAAAAGAAUGUAGAGAAACUGGAACUUUC